AUUGAACGCUGGCGGCAUGCCUUACACAUGCAAGUCGAACGGCAGCACGGGAGCAAUCCUGGUGGCGAGUGGCGAACGGGUGAGUAAAGUAUCGGAACGUGCCCAGUCGUGGGGGAUAACGUAGCGACAGUUACGCUAAUACCGCAUCCGAUCUAUGGAUGAAAGCGGGGGAUCGCAAGACCUCGCGCGAUUGGAGCGGCCGAUAUCAGAUUAGGUAGUUGGUGGGGUAAAGGCCCACCAAGCCGACGAUCUGUAGCUGGUCUGAGAGGACGACCAGCCACACUGGGACUGAGAAACGGCCCAGACUCCUACGGGAGGCAGCAGUGGGGAAUUUUGGACAAUGGGCGAAAGCCUGAUCCAGCCAUGCCGCGUGCAGGAUGAAGGCCUUCGGGUUGUAAACUGCUUUUGUACGGAACGAAAAGGACUGCCCUAAUACGGUGGUCCCAUGACGGUACCGUAAGAAUAAGCACCGGCUAACUACGUGCCAGCCGCCGCGGUAA
RNAcentral lists this ribosomal RNA (500 nucleotides) under uncultured bacterium. Its description in RNAcentral is "partial 16S ribosomal RNA". It matches the Rfam family "Bacterial small subunit ribosomal RNA", at positions 30 to 523 of the family's 1533-position model. The record is from RNAcentral.